Molecule: long non-coding RNA, 302 nt
Filed under: Callithrix jacchus (white-tufted-ear marmoset)
Lineage: Eukaryota; Metazoa; Chordata; Mammalia; Primates; Cebidae
Description: lncRNA (ENSCJAG00000058757.2)
Source: RNAcentral
UGUUAUUGGUAUAGUGAAUCUCAAAAAAUGUAGUGGCUCAAAACACUAUUCUCUUAACAGUUCUGGGUGCCAGAAAUCUGAAAUAAAUUUUUGUUGCUGACAUCAAGGUAUCUGCAGAACUGGUUUCUUCUGGAGGCUCCAGCUAUGUAUCUGUUGUGAAAAUUCCCAUCCAGCUUCAAGAAUCACACUCUCAAGCAGAAGGCGAUCUAAGAGAAAGCAAGAGGCACACUACUCCAGGUUGGUAAGUAGUCAAAAAUUUAUUCAGGGGAAACUUACAUAUGAGGCAGUCUUGGGUGCAGCAA